Molecule: non-coding RNA, 68 nt
Organism: Fukomys damarensis (Damara mole-rat)
Lineage: Eukaryota; Metazoa; Chordata; Mammalia; Rodentia; Bathyergidae
Source: Rfam
GGGAGUAUAGCUCAGUGUUAGAGCAUUUGUCUACCAUGCAAGAAGUUCUGAGUUCAAUCCACAGCCCG